UAUGUCGUAACGUUGGUAGAAAGCUUACCAGUCCCGUGGCGGAUGGAUAUAGGCAGAAUUCUCGUCCCACGGUCACCCAGGUUCAGUUGGAGAGGAAGGGCGGUGGUGUGAGCUACUCCUGAGAUGAACAUCAAACACUGUGGAUCGGCUGUGAUGAGGACCAUCCCGUAUAGAACAGCUAAAGUCGUACACACAAAACAGAAGAUCAGUAAAAACAGCAUCUUCUUGCAGCGAAGCGAGCCUUUUAAUAUCUAACCCGCGCUCAUAUCUUAAAACUACACUGGUCGUUUAUAAACAUUACUGACAGAGCAAAUAGUUAUUGAUUGGUUUGUGGCAGAUCAUUCAGUGAAUUCAAUGAUUGUUAGUUUAGGUCUAUUUCCUUGAGCUGUCCUGCCUCUUGGAAACCCAGACUUCGGGGACUGUGCCACUGGCUCAGUGGGGGCAGGUUCAGCUUGGAUGGUUGGAUUUUGCAGCCAUUUUCUAUUGUUUUUUUGCUGUUGUUGCCUCAAUUUUGAAACAAUGCAAGUGAGGGUCGUUUGAGGGUUAGUGCACUAUUGAAUAUUGUUGGCUCAGACUCACUGAAACCCGUGUCCGAAGAGUUUCUUGAAGACGGUACUGCAUGGCCCCUAGGCCGCUUCCCUAGCUCUCUCUGGCCGAUGACAGCAAGUGUAUCCUUAUUAGGAGAUCCAUUUGCAUGAGCAAAAAAGACAUACACUACAACAUUAUUAGAUCAUGAUUGAUAAAAAAGAUAUAUCAGCAGUUUGCAUUGUAGUUCUCGAUAUGGUGUUCUCCUAAAGAGAGGGCUUUUAUUUGCAACUGAGCUAUGUGGGUCUUUUAAGUCAUCCCCAUCAUGUGUGAUAAAUACACUAUUCUGGGCCUUCAACCGCUCACUCGGACUGUCUAUUGUCCCACCUCCAUCGGAGGGUGGUAGAAGUACAGGGGGACCCAGUAACUUAGAUUCUAGCGAGCCAGUCACGGGGAUCAAAAUAUCCCUUCCUACCGCAGCUACCUUGGGCCUAACACUAUCUAAUUCCUUGGACAUCUUUACGGCUACCCUCACCGUGCCUGCAGUAGCUGAGAUCGGCAAUUAGGCCUAUUCUAACCACUUACUAACUAACUUGUCUAUCAAUACCCGCUAAAUAAAAUAAAACUAAAAUUCACCCCCUUCGACGCGUCUCACAGCGUCUCGACAACAACAGUCCUUACACAAACGACGAAUAACCCGAACUAUAAUAACAACAACCUUCCUGGGUACUUCUGCACCGUUCUCCCGGUCAGUAACUUGCAGUACAUGUAUAAAAACAACAAUCAUUCCUACACUUACAAUUUAUAAACAGACCCUGACUACCAUGUCCUCUGCGAGUACCCCAUCGUAGCCCCAAGGGGCACGGCGUGUGACUCCUCCGGUACCUGUACCAUUGAGAACCCUAUCGUUGGCAUCGUCAUAACACUUACUCCAUACGCUUCAAGCCGGCCACGUACUACCUGGAGCUCAUAGGGAUAUGUAUACCACACGCACCCGUGUACAUGAGGGCCGAGCUGCACCAGUUCACGCUGACAGUAAAAUUGAUAGUCGAAACUAGCGGAGUAGUUACAAAUCCAAUCUAACCAUAACGAGUCAGAUUCUUGGAACGUAAGGAUCAAAAUGGCGCCGGCCAAUUGGUCCGACAUGGGCCUUCUUUCUAACUGUUCCUACCGUCCUCCUACCAGUUCACCCUCGCCGGGAUCGGAGCGACUAUCGACCCGUAUUCCACCACGGCCGAGCAGUGUAUUGCUCUCCUGAAUAGUUCUUGCCAAGUGUUUCUCAACUCUGCUGCUGAGAGGAACCAAAACACUUUGUAUCCUAAAUGAGUUCCUAGACGUACUGUCUCUAUCUGCCUAACUAUCUGAUAACCUGCCCUGAUUUCCCCAACCACUAAAUGAUCUACUUCCCCGUAGUGAUUUAUUGAUGAUAAAAUGCUAUCGACGAUUCUAGGUUAUGUUGAGCACUGGCAUGGAGCAUGUGUGCCCAGAAUCGGUAUGUAAGAGUCAUUGGUCAGUCUAUUUCAUAUUUCAGUUAUUUACAAUCACCUAGCAUAAUUAUCGAGCAUCUUAUCAAGAUUAUCGUUUCAAGUAGCCAAUGUAACAAGUUGACGUAAAUUUGAAAAAAAAAAA
This is a long non-coding RNA of Branchiostoma belcheri (Belcher's lancelet), 2154 nucleotides long. RefSeq lists it as uncharacterized. Lineage: Eukaryota; Metazoa; Chordata; Leptocardii; Amphioxiformes; Branchiostomatidae. The transcript has 2 exons. The record is from RefSeq and is a predicted model, not a curated record.